GAAAACUGUGAUUUUAUAGCCGGAGAUCUGAACCCAGCUGUGCCCCUCCCCCAGGGGCGUGAGGCUGAUUGGUGAAGACGGGAGGAAGGAUUUCAAUUUCUGACUCAAGAAGCAUUUUUGGUUUCAGAUUUUUUUUUUCCUGUAAUGUUAAACUCUUUGGCUUUAAGUAAAAAUCCAAAAAGUUUUUUUAAAAAAGCAAAGGAAGCAUACUUGUGAACUACCUUGCUAGCUAGCCAGCCAAGGAUACCGGACACACCUCUGCUCCAAAGGAAAUCCAAAAAAGCAAACACAAGAAAUCAAAAUCCAAAAUUUGUCACUGCCAAAGUAUGUUUUUCACUGUUUUACUUGCCCUUGGGUUUGUUUGGAUGUGGGUCUUUUUCUCUUCUGUCCUGGUUUUGUUUGUGGGUGUUGGGAUAUUGGGGUGCAGAGGGUUGGUGCCCAGUGGGUCUUUUUCUCUUCUGUCCUGGUUUUGUUUGUGGGUGUCGGGAUAUUAGGGUGCAGAGGGUUGGUGCCCGGUGGGUCUUUUUCUCUUCUGUCCUGGUUUUGUUUGUGGGUGUCGGGAUAUUGGGGUGCAGAGGGUUGGUGCCCAGUGAGAAACGAGUUUUGUUCCCUUCCGCGUAGGCGUUGGUGCGUCCGCCGCGUGUGCGCGGUCUGUGUGCCGUCGCCGCGGCCUGCGUCUCCAUGUGUGUAGGGAAGGACACGCCGUCUGUCCUCACGCCCCCUGUGACUUUUCAUACUUUGUUUUUCCACUUGUGGAAAAAAGUGCUAAAGUUUUCUUCCCAGAGAGAGCAUAAUUCCGAAACAAAACUGUGACAAUCUUUUGGGUUGAUUCUCGACUGCUUUUCAAGCACGCGGAGCCAGCAGGGCUCCCUGAAACACGGCUUCUCAGCCAGCCCGUCCUCCUCUACCUCUCUCCUCUCCACGCCCUCCAACCUCUCUCGGCCCCAUCGCCCCAACCCCAGCGUCUCACUGCAGCUACUCCCCUUUCUUCCAAACUUUUGCAGAAAAACAAAACAAAAAAACUACAAACAAAAGCAGCCCUUUGCGUCCUCCCCAGGAAAGACCCUGACCAUGUACAUAGCCCUGGUGCUCCUGCCCUGCCACCCCUCAGAUGCGUUUGCCUCUGGCCCUGGGGUGUGUCUCGGUGACAUUUUCUAUCAGAUAUGCUCCCUCCCACCUUCCAGCCCUGCCCAUCCUCCCUCCAUUCCUCUCAGCUCCCUCCGCGAUUUCAAGAAGGAAAUAAAGGGAUAAAGAAAUUCAUGCUUGCACUGAGUGCAAGGACAGACAACAGCAGGCGCGGCCCACGGCCUGGCAUCUGUGUGCGUGGCUAUCAGGAGUUCCAGGAACUCAGUGCAAUACCGGAGUGACCCAGCUACUGAAGCGGCCGUGAACGGCCCACGAGAGGCCCGAAGCCGAGAGUGUACGUUAAUGUGAAUGUAUAUAGUCUUUGCAGAGGUCCAAAUAAUAUUCAUGAUGGUAAUAAAGAAGAGAUGUUUGCCAAAUAAAAAAGAAAAAGUUAA
RNAcentral lists this long non-coding RNA (1520 nucleotides) under Macaca fascicularis (crab-eating macaque). RNAcentral's name for it is "lncRNA (ENSMFAG00000051177.1)". The record is from RNAcentral. Lineage: Eukaryota; Metazoa; Chordata; Mammalia; Primates; Cercopithecidae.